Small nuclear RNA from Cervus hanglu yarkandensis (Yarkand deer), 181 nucleotides. Its record names the gene U2. It matches the Rfam family "U2 spliceosomal RNA". Rfam says of the family: U2 is a small nuclear RNA (snRNA) component of the spliceosome (involved in pre-mRNA splicing). Complementary binding between U2 snRNA (in an area lying towards the 5' end but 3' to hairpin I) and the branchpoint sequence (BPS) of the intron results the bulging out of an unpaired adenosine, on the BPS, which initiates a nucleophilic attack at the intronic 5' splice site, thus starting the first of two transesterification reactions that mediate splicing. The record is from Ensembl. Lineage: Eukaryota; Metazoa; Chordata; Mammalia; Artiodactyla; Cervidae.
AUAGCUUCUUGACCUUUUAGCUAAGAUCAUGUGUAAUAUCUGUUCUUAUGCAUUUAAUACCACUUAUUGAGGCCAUAAUGUGGGCCAGUUAUUGCUAGGCAACUUACAUACUGUAAUUUAUAAACAAUUGCAAUACAAAAAGUUGCUGUUCCUACUUUAUCAAGAGGAAACUGAAACUUUG